UAGGGAAUAUUGGGCAAUGGAAGCAAUUCUGACCCAGCCAUGCCGCGUGAAGGAAUACAGCCCUAUGGGUUUUAAACUUCUUUUAUUAUAGAGUAAACGGAGGUACGUGUACCUCCCUGCAAGUAUAUGAUGAAUAAGGAUUGGCUAACUCCGUGCCAGCAGCCGCGGUAAUACGGAGGAUCCAAGCGUUAUCCGGAUUUAUUGGGUUUAAAGGGUGCGCAGGCGGAUCAAUAAGUCAGGGGUGAAAAAUUUCAGCUUAACUGGAAUAGUGCCUUUGAUACUGUUGGACUAGAGUAUAAUGGAGGUGAAUGGAAUGUGAUGUGUAGCGGUGAAAUGCUUAGAUAUGUCACAGAACGCCAAUCGUGAAGACAGGUCACGAAAUUAUUACUGACGCUCAUGCACGAAAGCGUGGGGAUCAAACA
RNAcentral lists this ribosomal RNA (422 nucleotides) under uncultured prokaryote. RNAcentral describes it as "bacterial SSU rRNA". It matches the Rfam family "Bacterial small subunit ribosomal RNA", at positions 355 to 774 of the family's 1533-position model. The record is from RNAcentral.